This 2874-nucleotide long non-coding RNA is filed under the name Sus scrofa (pig). Its description in RNAcentral is "lncRNA (ENSSSCG00035056585.1)". The record is from RNAcentral. Lineage: Eukaryota; Metazoa; Chordata; Mammalia; Artiodactyla; Suidae.
UUUUUUUUUUUUUUUUUGUCUUUUUGCCAUUUCUUGGGCUGCUCCCGCAGCAUAUGGGAGGUUCCCAGGCUAGGGGUCUAAUCGGAGCUGUAGCCACUGGCUUACGCCAGAGCCACAGCAACGCCAGAUCCAAGCUGCGUCUGCCACCUACGCCACAGCUCACAGCAACCCACUGACCAAGGCCAGAGAUUGAACCUGCAUCCUCAUGGAUACUGGUCGGCUUGGUAACCUACUGAGCCAUGACGGGAACUCCCUGUUUGGGUCAUUUACAGGAGCACUGCCUCUGGUACCGAGAAUACCCCUGCCCCCUCUCUGAUGGCCCUUCUCACACGCUGUGGACUUCCUGGCCUGUCUGCAGUGGCAGCAGCAGUCUGUCACUUUCAUUAGCAGAGCCGCCAAGAGGCUUCUAUGAUUGAGACUCAGUGUCACGUGAGGACAGGGAGAAAGUCCAUGGAAAAUUCACACCCUGCUACGUUCUGAAUGGCUCUGCCUAAGUUGGCAUCAUAGAAAUGGCACCUGCUGCAUUCACAAAAGACUUCUUACCAAUGUGGUAAAUGAAGGCCCUUAAUACCUUCAUCUUCUCAAUAAUCCAAAGAGGUAGGUAUCAUUGCCUUCACAUAACAUCAGUGAAAAAAAAAAGUGCCUCCUCUGGGCCACUGUGCCCUCUCUGUCUCCAGGGAGUUGAGAAUCCCUGUCCCAAGGUACCUCCUCCUCUCCUCCUGUGGCCACCAUGCCUGCCAGGCCCCAUCGCCCCCACCUGGAGCCCUCGAACCAACCCGACCUGGGCUCCUUGCCACCCGUGCCCCUCCCUCAAGCCACCUUCCUCACCCCUGCCCCUGAACAGGGGCCAGCCCCUCUCAGCGUACAACUCUCUCAUCCUCCCCGGCCGGGGUCGAGCUCACGAUCCUGGGCACAGCAUUCAAGGCCCCCAUCAUCUCGUGCCGGCCAUGUCUCUGACCACCUCUCGGAGGCCCCUCGGUCCUCACAAUGCUGGCUGUUCCAGAACAACUGCUCUGAAGUAUCAGAUAAGAAAAAAAAAACCACCACCCAUUUGAGGGUCACGAUCACCGGGAUGCCACACAGCUCGAUUCCCUGAGCAGGUGUCGCAAAUUUCACCACUCAAGGCGGCUGAUGCUUUGGCACACAGGAGGGCAGAAAGACCAGAGGCUUGUCUCGGGGCAGAGUGAAGUCGCCUGGAAGAUGGAUCAGACGCAUCGCGAUCUCUGCUUCCUUUCCGAGCCUGAGCAGAAAAAAAACCCUGCCACCCAGAUGGUAAGUAACUCCUAAAUCCCUCUUUAAUGAACUGGGUAAUCUCAAUGAGAACGCCCACCUCUUGGUGUUUUUAGCCUUCAGAAUGCAGGUCUGCCGUCCUGGACCUGGGACUGAGAAAAGCAAAGCGGGGAUUCGCUCAGGCAAAUCCUAUGAGAUGUUCCAUCUAAUGGGAUAACAGGAGUUGAGGAAGGUUACUUGGGGUUUUGCAGGUUUGCCUGACAUUGGGGUGUUCUUCAUCCUCCAUAACCCUCCUGAAGUGGGGAGGAGGCUGGCACAUCCCAGAGGCCAUUUAACCACCAGCUAUCGAUGGAGUGGCUCUAGGUGCCAGGCCCUGUGCCUGUGGGGGGCUGGGGCGGGGAAGAUGCUGCAGGCAACAGAUCAGGUUGAAGCUUGCCUUCUGGAGUCCCAAACAGGGACUGGGGACAAACUUAAUCACUGAGGGGAUGCAGAAUGGGGAGGGUGGACAGGGAGACCUCCCGAGACUUGCAGGCCUGUGAAUACUUCUUGAGGUGACACUGGAGCAGACACUUGCCAGACAGGCAGAGGCCUCUGGGAGGAGGGUCCCAGACCCAGGGAACAAAUGGUUAGCACACACCUGAUGCAGGAAUGUGCUAGCAUUCUCCAGGUGGCCAGCAUGGUGGCCACCAAGGGGAGGCCAGUGGCUGCUGAGGGAGGCAGGCUCCCCACCAUUCAGCUGUCUUGUAGACCCGGGGUCAGCAAACCACAGCCUAUGGGCCAAAUCUGGCCUACUUCCUGUUUUUAUGAAUAAAGUUUUAUUGGAAGCAGCUGGGUGCAUAUGCUGACAUAGUGCCUGUGUCUGCUUUGUUAAUGCCACUGCCAUUUGCUGUUCCAAGUUGAGUCGCUGCAACAGUGAAUGGCCACAGGGCUUACAAAGUCUAAAAUACUUUCUGGCCUUUUGUAAAAAAGUUUGCCAACCCCAUCAUAGGUCACGAGGAAAGUUUGGAUUUUGCUCUAUGACUCUAUAGGCAAUUAAGUAGCCACCAGAGGCUCCUACACAUUUAAGUGAUACGUUUUUUUCUUUGUUUUGUUUUUGUUUUUGUUUUUUUAUAGCCACAGGUUCAGCAUAUGUAAAUUCUCAGGCGAGGGGUCGAAUCAGAGCUGCACGUGCUGGCCCAGCCUGAACGCACCUGCGCUGCAGUGUGGGUGGGAGGAAACACAGAAUCCCCCUCACUGCUCUCCCUGCCCCAUCUCGGUCCUCCUCCACACAACAGCCAGGAUAGCCUUUUAAAGUAUGUCAGGAGUUCCCACUGUGGCUCAGCGGUAAUGAACCCAACCAGUAUCCAUGAGGACUCAGGUUCAAUCCCUGGCCCUGAUUAGUCAUUGUGCAAAGUGCUUCCAGAGACUUUGUUUCUUACAACAUUAAAGGAGAGAAUGCAUUCAAACACUUAAUCCCAUGCCUGGCACGCCAAAGUGUUGAAUAAAAGUUAAUAAAAUAGUUUAUAAAAAAUUCGCAAGAAGCAUCCGUCUACUAUCAAAGAGGGGAUUCUUUUUUUUUUUUGGUCUUUUGUCAUUUUAGGGCCACACCCAUGGCAUGUGAAGUUUCCCAGGCUAGGGGUCUAGUCGGAGCUAUAGCUGCCAGCC